ACAAAAACUGUGAUGAGGAGUAUUAAGAGUACUUGCGUUUCAGAGAGCUGCCGGAUGGUGCGAGGCAGUAACGAUAAAACUCCCAACUCGCCUCGGAGUUCCUUGAUUGAAUUUAGUAGAUUAAGGCGGGAAUUCCCGUUAUAGAAUUAAUGAGUGCAUCCUUUUUGGAUGAAUUAGAGUGGUACCACGGAAAGUAAAGCCCUUUCGUCUCUAUA
This 215-nucleotide non-coding RNA is filed under the name Robinsoniella sp. RNAcentral's name for it is "T-box sequence". It matches the Rfam family "T-box leader". From Rfam's summary of the family: Uncharged tRNA acts as the effector for transcription antitermination of genes in the T-box leader family. T-boxes are found upstream of many aminoacyl-tRNA synthetase genes and some amino acid biosynthetic genes usually in Gram-positive bacteria. The anticodon of a specific tRNA base pairs to a specifier sequence within the T-box motif, and the NCCA acceptor tail of the tRNA base pairs to a conserved bulge in the T-box antiterminator hairpin. Lineage: Bacteria; Bacillati; Bacillota; Clostridia; Lachnospirales; Lachnospiraceae. The record is from RNAcentral.